Molecule: ribosomal RNA, 432 nt
Filed under: uncultured bacterium
Lineage: Bacteria
Description: partial 16S ribosomal RNA
Rfam family: Bacterial small subunit ribosomal RNA
Source: RNAcentral
AACGAACGCUGGCGGCAUGCCUAACACAUGCAAGUCGAACGAGACCUUCGGGUCUAGUGGCGCACGGGUGCGUAACGCGUGGGAAUCUGCCCUUCGGUUGGGAAUAACUGAGAGAAAUUUCAGCUAAUACCUUAUAAUGUCUUCGGACCAAGAUUUAUCGACGAGGGAUGGGCCCGCGUAGGAUUAGGUAGUUGGUGGGGUAAUGGCCUACCAAGCCGACGAUCCUUAGCUGGUCUGAGAGGAUGAUCAGCCACACUGGGACUGAGACACGGCCCAGACUCCUACGGGAGGCAGCAGUGGGGAAUAUUGGACAAUGGGCGAAAGCCUGAUCCAGCAAUGCCGCGUGAGUGAUGAAGGCCUUAGGGUUGUAAAGCUCUUUUACCCGGGAUGAUAAUGACAGUACCGGGAGAAUAAGCUCCGGCUAACUCCGUG